RNAcentral lists this ribosomal RNA (497 nucleotides) under uncultured bacterium. RNAcentral describes it as "partial 16S ribosomal RNA". It matches the Rfam family "Bacterial small subunit ribosomal RNA", at positions 28 to 507 of the family's 1533-position model. The record is from RNAcentral.
GAUGAACGCUGGCGGCGUGCCUAAUACAUGCAAGUCGAGCGAACAGACGAGGAGCUUGCUCCUCUGACGUUAGCGGAGGACGGGUGAGUAACACGUGGAUAACCUACCUAUAAGACUGGGAUAACUUCGGGAAACCGGAGCUAAUCCCGGAUAAUCUCUUGAACCGCAUGGUUCAAUAGUGAAAGACGGUUUUGCUGUAACUUAUAGCUGGAUCCGCGCCGCAUUAGCUAGUUGGUAAGGUAACGGCUUUCCAAGGCAACGAUGCGUAGCCGAGCUGAGAGAGGGAUCGGCCACACGGGAGCUGGGACACGGUCCAGACUCCUACGGUAGGCAGCAGUAGGGAAUCUGCCGCAAUAGUCGAGAGCCUUACGGAGCAACGCCGCGUGAGAUAUGAAGGUCUUCGGAUCGUAAAACUCGGUUAUUAGGUAAGAACAAAUGUGUAAGUAACUAUGCACUUCUUGACGGUACCUAAUCAGAAAGCCACGGCUAACUACGUG